Non-coding RNA from Caenorhabditis elegans, 106 nucleotides. NCBI's taxonomy places the organism in Eukaryota, Metazoa, Nematoda, Chromadorea, Rhabditida, Rhabditidae. The record is from Ensembl.
CUCGUUUUGAAGGGAAGACUGCACGUGUUGCAGGUAGUUGUACAUCAUGGGCGUUGCGACAAUGGCGACCAAGGUGGCGAUGGUAGCCACAGAGAUGCCUGGAGAA